Equus caballus (horse) is the source of this 798-nucleotide non-coding RNA. Lineage: Eukaryota; Metazoa; Chordata; Mammalia; Perissodactyla; Equidae. The record is from RefSeq and is a predicted model, not a curated record.
UCCCUUCAGGAUCCAGGGACCAGGAGCCAGGACUGUUUGGCCAGUGGACUGUCCUGCUGGCUACUACUGUCCUCUGGGUACCCAGACACCCACCCAGCACCCGUGCCCCAGGGGCACCUUCCGAGAGAGGCCCGGGGCACGCAGCACCAAGGAUUGUAGGCCCUGUCCCGCAGGGCAAUUCUGCUCAGAUUCAGGGGCUGGGAAACGCUUCCCGGACGGGCCAUGCUCAGCAGGUUAUUACUGUCCCCCUGGCCAGACCUCAGCCACCCCUAUAUCUUUCCGGUGCCCCCGUGGCUUCUACUGUUCCGAGGGAUCUCCCCAGCCAAGGGCCUGUGAGAACGGAACAUUCCAGCCCCAGGAAGCAAAGGACUCCUGUGAGCCCUGCCCCGCAGGAUUCUACUGUGACGCCUCUGGCAAAGGACCCAGCCUGUGCCUCCGGGGCUACUUCUGUCCCCCAGGCUCCCACUCAGCCACUGCCCACCCAUGCCCUCGGGGGACAUUCGGGCCCAGGCAAGGGGCCACUGCAGAGCGGGACUGUGAGCUGUGCCCAGCAGGUUUGUGGACUCUGGACCCUGGGCCCUCAGGGAGCCUAGGCUGAAAGGCUGGGGAGAGAACGAGGAAAAGCAGAAGGAGGGCAAGGAAACAAGUCAUGAGGGAGCAUGUGCCCUGGGCCCUGGACCCACAUUGUCAGGGCAGCACCUCAUGUCCAGCAACUGGGACAAGGAAAGCAAAGUCAGGUCCAGACAUGGGCCAGGGUCCCAUCAACCUCCUAGCGGGCCCAUAGCCCCUACUGUCUGG